This 30-nucleotide ribosomal RNA is filed under the name Rickettsia rickettsii. Its description in RNAcentral is "partial 23S ribosomal RNA". Lineage: Bacteria; Pseudomonadati; Pseudomonadota; Alphaproteobacteria; Rickettsiales; Rickettsiaceae. The record is from RNAcentral. RNAcentral also lists the same sequence under 10 other names.
CGAUACUAAUAGCUCGAUUGAUUUACUUUG